CCUGGAAGGUUCCAGGGCUGUAGAGGAGGCCAGCGUGGCUGGGACAGGCUGAGCAACGGAGAGGGGAAGGCAGAGAGGCCAUUCUGCCCCUGAUGAAGUUCCUGGAGGUGGAGCUUUGCUACAUGAACACCAACUUGGUGCAGGAGAACUUCAGUAGCCUCCUGACCCUGCUCUGGACCCACACGCUCACAGUGCUGGUGGAGGCGGCCGC
This 211-nucleotide small RNA is filed under the name Pongo abelii (Sumatran orangutan). Its description in RNAcentral is "processed transcript". The record is from RNAcentral. Lineage: Eukaryota; Metazoa; Chordata; Mammalia; Primates; Hominidae.